RNAcentral lists this long non-coding RNA (2854 nucleotides) under Marmota monax (woodchuck). Lineage: Eukaryota; Metazoa; Chordata; Mammalia; Rodentia; Sciuridae. The record is from RNAcentral.
GGCAAACAUUCAGAUAAAACACCUGAUCCCCAUCAAGAAUCCUCAAAGCUAAUUUUAUCUCCAACUUUUGAUCCCUACAACCACGGUUCCACAGAAAAAAAAACUCUGGAUGCCCUUUGGUACCGUGUGUCUUACCCAUCCCGUGUCUCAUUCAGGGCUAAUCUGCUGUCACCCGUUGUCCAUCUGGGGCAUUAGCGGAUCACCUAAGCUCCACUUCGUCCUCCUCCCAGCUGUUCGACAUCCUGCUGAGGAGGUGACUGCGUUAGCCUCCUGCUGAGCACUGAGUGGUGGUGUUUGCUGUACAAGAUGAAUUGGGCUCAUGGACAUGGCAUAAGUUCUUCUGUGACCCGGUAUUUUAGUUUGUUUUUAACUUUUGUGGUUCUGGAGGCCAGGAAGUCCAAGAUGGAGGGGCCAGCAGGUUUGGUGUUUGGGGCAGGUAGCUUGCUGGUGCAGCCACACAUGGUGAAAGAGCCAAGGAGCUCUCUUGAGCCUCUUUGAUGAAGAUGCUGAUCUUAUUUAGGAGGUGGAGGCUUGUGAUUCAACCAAUUCCUGGAGUUCCUACUUCUUCAUACUAUCACAAUGGAUACUAGCCUUCAAUGAAUGAAUUUGGAGAGGACACCAACCUUCAGACCGCAGGACCUGGCUCUGAUUUGCCUCCCGGGCUUGCUCUCUCACCUCAUUCUGCCUGUGGCUUCAGGUGCAUCUGCUGGCUCGCUCUGGGUGCCUCGCUCACACAGUGCUGAUCUUUCUCUCUGGAGUAGACUAUCCCCAUCUUUCUCCUGGGCAAUCUAUUCUUUCAUAACCAGCUCAGGCUGGAUACAAUCAUCCCCGCCCAGUUGGGAUGCUUGGGUCUCCGUUCUGUGCCUUCUGUGUCAUCAGAUAGAUAGUGACAUUAGCUAGGCACAAUGGUGCACGCCUGUAAUCCCAGAGACUCAGGAGGCUGGGGGCAGGAGGACUGCAAAUCCAAAGCCAGCCUCAGCAACUUAGUGAGGCCCUAAGCAAUUUAGCGAGACCCUGUCUCAAAAUAAAAAAUUUAAAAAAUGGGCUGGAGAUAUGGCUCAGUGGUUAAGGUGCCCCUGAGUUCAAUCCCGGGUACCAAAAAAAAAAAACAAAAAAAAAAACCAAAAAGAUAGUGAGCUCUUUGUGGGCAGAGUCUAGUCAUCUAUGUACACCAGUAACUUUUUGUGUGCUUGUAGGUAACAGUUGCUCAGUAAACACUUGUAGAUCCCAGCAGCAGGAGCAACAGUGACGAGCUGUUAUUUAUUUAUUUAUUUUUUUUGAGUUCUACUUUAUCCCUUUUUGGAAGCCUGAGAUGGAAGAAAAUGGCCAAAAUGCUAUGACCAGAAAGGAGACAGGAAGUCAAAGGUUUUGGAAAAAUGUGUAGAUACAAUAUCUUCCUGUUUUUCUGAGUUCGGUCCAGCUGAUUAAAAUCCUGGUGGGAAUCCUUUUUUUUUUUUAGGGUGGAUUAGCAACCUUCUGGGAAGGUGGAUUUCUCCAGAGAAAUGCAUUGGAGCCAUUUAAGAAUUCCAAUGGAAAAAAAAAAAAUCCUACUUACCAGGCAAAUUGAUAAAGAUUCCUUCCCUUUCUCUUAUGAAUAAAAGAGUUUACACAGAAACUCUCGAAGCGAUUGUGUGAGGGAUUCACAAGGAUCACUAAAAUCUCCACUAGACCUUCACUUUCACUUUGUAAAACUGCCUACACCCUGAAAAAAAACGGCAUCAUACAAAAAAAUGGACUUUCCGGGGCUUCCCUAUGAAUGGGUCCUGCUGGCUGCACACUGGGGCCAUUCAUUUUAUUUGGCCCAUUUAUCGCAAGUACAUUCUAAAUUUGGCCUUAAUUAUUUUUCCUUUCACAAAAAUAUUUUGUGGGAUCUUUUUGAACCUUGGCCACUUCCUACUUGCCCCUUCAAACAGAAGCCAGGAGUGUUAUUUUUGUUCUCUUCUAAUUAAAAUAAUUGCUUGGUUCCUUUUAACUAGAUUCAUGCCGUUAUUAGCCUAAUACGUGGAUGGGUGCCACGGGGUGCUUGAGAAACAAGACGAAAAGUGAUCAUGGAGCUUCACAUGAAAAAGGUUCUGCCGUGCCAAGGAGCAUUAUUUCCUUUCAGCCAGUGUUUCAUAAGGGUCUUUCGUCAACCUGGCCCCCCAUACCCUUCCUAAAAGGCUUGCUCAGGGAAAGAAUAGUUCUAUUUUCUUUAGGAAGGUAUACAGCCAGCUCCGUACAGUUUGAAGAGCGGCACUUGAUGUGCUGAGUGUGGCACAAAGACCUCGGCUCUGGGUUUAAUCUCUGCCCCUGCUUUGUCUUUCAGAAUAACUGCAGUCGAAGGACAAAUCCCCCAUGUCCCCUCUGCCAGUGGGUGCUCAUCAAAGGACAGCGAAGGAAGAGAAAGUGCCUAGAUGCGUGCACCCGUCAAGUGUCGUCGAGACUGCAAAUGCCAAGUGUGCAAAGGACUCUUUAUUUUUUUAUUUUUGGGUAGCAGGAAUUGAACCCAGGUGUGCUUAACUCCUGAGCCACAUCCCUACUCCUUUUUAUUUUUUUAUUUUGAGACAGGGUCUCUUGAAGUUGCUCAAGUCCUCUCUAAGUUGCUCAGGCUGGCCUGGAACUUGCGAUCCUCCUGCCUCAGCCUCCUGAACUGCUGGGAUGAUAGGCAUGGGUCUCCCCACCAGGCUCAAAUGGCAUUUUGACAAGACUUUUCUCAAAGGCGAUGGGGUCUCAGGGUUGGCAAACAAGGCUCUGGGGACACCUCCGACUGUUGCCUGUUUUUAAUGAAGCCUUCUUUGGAGCGCAAGCACACCAGUUGAUGUAUUUUCUGUGGCUGCUNUCAGGAGGCUGAGGCAGGAGGGUUGUGAGUUCAAAG